Molecule: ribosomal RNA, 273 nt
Filed under: uncultured bacterium
Lineage: Bacteria
Description: partial 16S ribosomal RNA
Rfam family: Bacterial small subunit ribosomal RNA
Source: RNAcentral
UACGAAGGGUGCAAGCGUUCAUCGGAAUUACUGGGCGUAAAGCGCGCGUAGGUGGUUCGUUAAGUUGAAUGUGAAAGCCCCGGGCUCAACCUGGGAACUGCAUCCAAAACUGGCGAGCUAGAGUAUGGCAGAGGGUGGUGGAAGUUCCUGUGUAGCGGUGAAAUGCGUAGAUAUAGGAAGGAACAACAGUGGCGAAGGCGACCACCUGGGCUAAUACUGAAACUGAGGUGCGACAGCGGGGGGAGCAAACAGGAUUAGAUACCCGCGGAGACC